This 253-nucleotide ribosomal RNA is filed under the name uncultured bacterium. RNAcentral's name for it is "partial 16S ribosomal RNA". It matches the Rfam family "Bacterial small subunit ribosomal RNA", at positions 524 to 776 of the family's 1533-position model. The record is from RNAcentral.
UACGUAGGGUGCAAGCGUUGUCCGGAAUUAUUGGGCGUAAAGAGCUCGUAGGCGGUCUGUCACGUCUGCCGUGAAAACUCGGGGCUUAACCCCGGGCCUGCAGUGGGUACGGGCAGACUAGAGUGCGGUAGGGGAGACUGGAAUUCCUGGUGUAGCGGUGAAAUGCGCAGAUAUCAGGAGGAACACCGGUGGCGAAGGCGGGUCUCUGGGCCGUAACUGACACUGAGGCGCGAAAGCGUGGGGAGCGAACAGG